Molecule: long non-coding RNA, 413 nt
Filed under: Androctonus crassicauda
Lineage: Eukaryota; Metazoa; Arthropoda; Arachnida; Scorpiones; Buthidae
Source: RNAcentral
CUGUUUCGCUAUGUGGAUGGGUUCAGUGAAGUUAGAUGGAUUGGGUCGCGUGAAGGUUGGAAACGACUUGGGCGAUCACGUGAUCUUCGCCAGGCCAUGUGACUCGAAAAUAUAUUUUUCUUACAAAAUGUCGCAAUUUAUUUGGAAAAAUAAUUGCAAUGCAAAUUAUAUUAAUAAAAUAAUAAAAUUUUUCAUUACCAUCAGCAAUCUUGAAAUCACGUAAAAUUCCAAUAAUUUUUGUUAUCGCGCGACACGUGCUCCUGGAAAAUGGAUUCCAUUAAGUCCGAGAAGGAUCUGUAUUCGUUUUUUAACCCACCUGAGAGAGAAGUAUUUCGUGACUUUCAAGAUAAUGGGUUUUUGCAUCGUACUAUGCCAACACCCACUAUAGAGAAAGCCUACCAACCUUAAAAUGA